This 2574-nucleotide long non-coding RNA is filed under the name Salmo salar (Atlantic salmon). Its description in RNAcentral is "lncRNA (ENSSSAG00000094236.1)". Lineage: Eukaryota; Metazoa; Chordata; Actinopteri; Salmoniformes; Salmonidae. The record is from RNAcentral.
AAUGUCCACAUGGUGGUGCUGAUACAGUCUGGAAUACAUUGGGUGUGGGAAUGAGUUGACCCCUCCUUCCCACUGUGGGGAAUUGUCAAAUGAGGGUGAACCACAAAGUGGAAGUAUUUUCUUAGCUCGUGAGAUUUGCCACGAGGACGGGACUAUAGGGAGAUUGGACUCAAAUUGUCUAAACCAGCGCUCAGAGUUGAAGCAGGUCAUCCAGGUGGAAUCUGGGAAGGAUGCAGUCCUAGACUGCUCUGUGAAGUUCAGUGAGGAAUCCCCUGGAUGCUGCUGAGCCCAAAAUAUCAGCUUUCCAUGCCACCUGCCAAUGAGAGACAAAGUUGUGUCCCUGUUGGUUAAAGAAACCCAGCCUGAAGAAGAGGGUCCGUAUGAGUGUGUGGUGAACACUGACAGUGGAAACACAAAUUGUAACUUCAUGCUGAAGGUCACAGUAUGAGACCAGCACCAGGUUCCUGAGAAUGCUGCAAAUCAAAAGGAAAUUCCAAAGAACAGUUACAAGAAUGUGACUGCUGUAUUUGUGGUAGUAGGCUCUCUUGCCAUUGGACUGCUGCUUCUCAAGCUGUUUCAAGCCAGAAGACUCAGACAACAUGAGCACCCAGGGUCAUGUCCAUUAGGACACACUGUUGCAAAAUGCUUCAAGAAGUUAUUCAGAUAGUUCCUCCCCAUUUCAGACUGCUUCUUUCCAUUUCGUGCCUAGUGAACACGACCUUGCAUUUGACAAUCUCUGCCGAGAGGAAUGCAGAGGUCUGGGAAGAUUAGGAGAGUACUUUCUGUUCUGGCUAAAUGCCAGGAUGUUGCUAUAUAAGUGGAAUGGAGAACUAACUCCUCGACAAGAUCACUUAGUUUAGUUUUUAUUGUUUUAGUUUCUCUAUUGCUCUCCUUCUCCUCCCCAGAUGGGAAUUCAGGAUUUGUUAUUCAAUUGUCUCUGUAACAAAUCACAAAACAUGGUAGAGCACACAGUAUCAACCCCUGUAAAAGGUUGCUUCUGGUUUCUCUUUCCAGAUGAACCAGUGGCACAGGAAGACUCUUUUGUGGCAGAAUGUUUGAGUAUAUUAUUUUUGUCUACCUAAUCGAAGAGGGAUUCCUGUCAAAACGAUCAAAUUCAUAGUAAAAUGCAGUGUAUAAAAUGUGUGUGGUAAAAUGGUGUAUAACAGUGUUGGUAUUCCUAUUGUCCCCUAUGGAACCAGAGCCUGAGGAUACAGCAGUCCCAGCAGAGCACGACUCCAGCACCAGGACAGGACUGUUUCCGUAGCGACAGAUGUAUUAUCCGGAGUGUUAUGGGCUCUCUUCCCUGUCGGUGUCAUGUCUGCUCUGUCUCUCACGCCACACAGCUAACUGAAUGUUAAUGCUUUGCCUGGAAGAGAGAACAAUCUGGUUCAACACUAUUGUGUUCCCCCUCUGCAGGAGAAAUGGAGUGCAUGCAUUAUCCUGCUACCAAGCUAAGUGUUAACAGCAUUGUCUGUAGUUGUUAACCACACCAGACUAUUCUUUCAUAUAUUGUGACUAAAACCUGAUGUUAGAGUUCAGUGUGUCAUCGGGAUCUCUGUUGAAAAGUUUGUUUCUGUUGGAGAGUCUGUCCUCUCUGUCUCUGUCCUCUCUGUCUCUCUCUCUGUUGUGGUUAGAAUGGAUAGUUCAGAGUAACAUUCAUUCAUGACGUUAUAGAUUAGCUGUUUUGGCGGUUGUCGGUCUUCGCGUUCAAUGAUACCGAAUUCCUAGCUGCAGACUAGUAAUUAAUAUCAAAGACUUGUUCUUAUUCUGUCGGUAUCGAUAGUCUAAGAGUUUAACCACAUGGUAUGGUUAAAAGUUCAGCAAGAGAAAUGCAUGGUCUGCAACCUUUAGCCAUCUCGUAAUUGAGGUAAGCUUGGCCUCCUCUCAAACCUUGCCCCUCAUUAUCAAGGUAAGCUGGUCUCGUCUCAAACCUUAGCCCUCUCGUUAUCGAGGUAAGCUGGUCUGGUGAUAGAAAACCUAGGUGGGGAUUUUAUUUAGAAGAGCAGAAAAGGGCCAGUCCCAUGACACCAGACCAUAACUGUGCUCAUGGGUGGUCCUCUGAUUAGUUAAACUCCAAAAGGGAAUUGGAGUUUCCUUCAUUAAACAGUCCAAAAUCACAUUACACAAUUUCACAAACAGUUCCAUCCUCACUCAUUCAUUUUAUACAACAAUUAGAUGUAAGCCUCAUAACUGAGGCUAUUAUAUAAACAGCGUUAUGGUAAUGUGGCCGUAUUGUCUCUCAUGAGUUUCACAAAAUUGCCGCACAUUUACUGUACCGGUUCCCCCUGUAUAUAGCCUCGCUAUUGUUAUUUUACUGCUGCUGUUUGUUACUUUUAUCUAUGUUAACACGUUUUUCUUCUUAACUUCUUAAAGCAAUGUUGGUUAAGGGCUUGUAAGUAAGCAUUUCAUUGUAAGGUCUACACCUGUUGUAUUCAGCGCAUGUGACAAAUACAAUUUUGAUUUGACAACAGGGGUGGCCUAUGUUAAAAAUGUUUUAAAAAGUACAAAGCCUUUGUAAGGUGUUAAGCCUGUGAUAAAAUAUGCUUAAAAUCAUUAAAAGACAAAGUGAUUGUG